Molecule: long non-coding RNA, 1061 nt
Filed under: Cricetulus griseus (Chinese hamster)
Lineage: Eukaryota; Metazoa; Chordata; Mammalia; Rodentia; Cricetidae
Description: lncRNA (ENSCGRG00015043300.1)
Source: RNAcentral
UGGAAGUGUAAACUGAAUAAACCCUUUCCUCCCCAACCUGCUUUUGGUCAUGGUGUUUUGUCACAGCAACAGUGACCUUGACUAGGACACUUGUCUUGCCUAACUGGGACUUUAUAGCCACCAAGUGUCUCCCCGUCUCCCCUCCCCACAGGCUCUGCCUUGUUUCUCUGCGUCUGGGGGUUUGACCAUUUCCGAUUUCAUGUCACUGGAAUCAUCCAAGGGAGAACAGAGUGAGGCUAAGUAAAGACGAUGGAGACCCAGGCCUGCUUCACUGAACGCAUUUUCCCGACUUCAGGGAAGCCCGAAGACUGUUAUAACUCAUAACUCGGUUCAUAGGCUCACACCGUCGCAUUUCUCUGAAGCGGAUUCACCAAGGAACAGGCGAACCGCUCGCUGUCCGCUAGAUGGCAGUGUGGGGCAGGAGUGAGAGCACCGUGGUGCAAGCUGCCAAGGAUUUUAAGACCCAGGGCAGCCCAGGAAUUCUCAAGGAUUCCCAUGGAACCCUGGUCUGACCAGGGCACUGCCUGAGUGGAUUCUGCCAGGUAACAGGGGCAGGCCAGCACAAUGCCUGAACCUUUCAGGUAAGCCAUGGUCAAGAAGCACUGUCCAAUACGUUUGUUCACUUUUCACUCACGAUGACUGUGUGGGGUGAGUGGCAGCAAACUCCAUCCUUUGUGGGCUUCACUGUAGGUAGGAGCGGUUCAAAGACAGAGAACUGGACAUGUGCAAAGUUAUGCUUAAGGAAUCAUGGAGCCAACCUCCUGCCUGUGAGUUCAUGCUCCACACCUGCUGCUGCCUCUGCGCCCACAGACGACAACGCCCCAGUGCGCCGCUGAGAAGAGGAAGCCGGUCUCCUCAGCAGGCUCUUCACGAACUGGAUGUCCCUUCUUGCCUUUGAUUUUUCUGCAGGUGCGAGUGAGCAGGGGCAAGAAGAAGGGGAGCACAGCAGUCCCCCAACAGAAAGAGAGUCCUCCUGAGCAGGCCUUACGGCUAACCUGCCCUCAAUUAUUCUGCCCUGUGAGCACACAUAUGAAAGUUUUGUGCCAGCAAGGAUGUCUGUG